RNAcentral lists this ribosomal RNA (1745 nucleotides) under Akanthophoreus gracilis. Its description in RNAcentral is "partial small subunit ribosomal RNA". It matches the Rfam family "Eukaryotic small subunit ribosomal RNA", at positions 513 to 1751 of the family's 1831-position model. The record is from RNAcentral. Lineage: Eukaryota; Metazoa; Arthropoda; Malacostraca; Tanaidacea; Akanthophoreidae.
GGAUGGCGUUUAACUUUAAAGCAGUAAACUGAACGCAAUUGGAGGGNAAGUCUGGUGCCAGCAGCCGCGGUAAUUCCAGCUCCNAUAGCGUAUAUUUAAGUUGCUGCGGUUAAAAAGCUCGUAGUUGGACUUCUAUACUCGGGCGGACCAGCCCUCUCCUCCUCUCCUAUACAAGCCUCCGUAGUUCAGUAGGCUUCAGUUCGUACACUGCUUCGUUGUCCGGGCCUACCUUCGCGGGUAUGGUGCGGGCACGAGUGGUAUCAGUGCGCGUGGUCGAACGGCGUGGGCAGGACGAGUACGGAGUGGUGGGGGCGUAAACUGCGUCCGUCUCCGAGUGUAAUAUGAGACCGCCGAUAUGCACUUUUAGUGUGUCGGGAAAUAGUCUAUAGCCGUACGGGCGGUGCCCUUUAUUGGGUGUCCUCUCGAUUGCGGCACAAGGCACAUUCCUCACCAACAAAGUUAUCGGCUCUAUCUCUUUGAAAAAAUUAGAGUGCUUAAAGCAGGCCUCAUUGCAUAAUUGCCUGAAUGGUAGUGCAUGGAAUGAUGGAAGAUGAUCUCUACCUCGUUAAGUUAAAAAAGGAACUUGUUUUCUUUUUUUCUUUGCACCAAGUGGAAUAAGGGUACAUUUGAAAUAAAAGAUUCGAGGUUUGAGAUAAUGAUUAAAGGGAACUGCCGGGGGCGUUUGUAUUACGGCGCUAGAGNUGAAAUUCUUGGACCGUCGUAAGACAAACUACUGCGAAAGCAUUCGCCAAGAAUGUUUUCAUUAAUCAAGAACGAAAGUUAGAGUUUAGAAGGAGAUCAGAUACCUCCCUAUUUCUAACCGUAAACUAUGCUAGCCAGUUGUCCGUCGGAAGUCAUUUCCGAGACUGGACGAGCGACCCUCAGGGAAACCAGAGUUUCUGAGUUCCGGGGGAAGUAUGGUUGCAAAGCUGAAACUUAAAGGAAUUGACGGAAGGGCACCACCAGGAGUGGAGCCUGCGGCUUAAUUUGACUCAACACGGGAAAACUCACCAGGCCCAGAAACAUUUAGGAUUGACAGAUUGAAAGCUCUUUCAUGAUUAUGAGGAUGGUGGUGCAUGGCCGUUCUUAGUUGGUGGAGCGAUCUGUCUGGUUAAUUCCGAUAACGAACGAGAUUCUCGUUUACUAAAUAGAAGGUAGAUCUGAUCCCGGAGGUCCUUUCGCUCGUGCUCUUUUUUCGCUGUGCUCGUGUGCGUGUCUCUUGCGGUGUUUUGGUGCACAAGGCUGUCGCGCGCGCGCUUGUUGGUUGNCUCUCGNNUCGGUCGNCUGGAGAGUGGUUAUCGAUGUUUGCGUGUGCCUGCUCGUCUGCAGAUGUGUUUUGCNNNNNNNNNNNNNNNNNNNNNNNNNNUUAGGAGUGCGUGGUGGAGGGGAUCUUAUGACGGGUAGUCUACACCCGUUUCUUCUUAGAAAAAUCAAUGGUGCUGUAAUCAGUUGACAGGAAGAGCAAUAACAGCUCUSCGAUCGCCCGAGAUGUUAUGGAACGCACRCGCGCUACAAUSCACGGUGCAGCACGUCAAAACUUCGCWAAACGGACUGGGUAACCGGCUCAAAUMMGGGMGCACGWGGGAAUGGGGCUUCCAAAUAUUUCCCAUGAACGAGGAAUGUMCCCGUAAGCGUUGGCUCAUUUAAGUACGCACCCAUUACGUNCCUUCCCUUCAUACACGACCCCCGUCGCUACUACCGAYUGAAUGACUCAGUGAGAACAUCGGACUGUCGCCCUAAUAGUG